Molecule: long non-coding RNA, 467 nt
Filed under: Mytilus galloprovincialis (Mediterranean mussel)
Lineage: Eukaryota; Metazoa; Mollusca; Bivalvia; Mytilida; Mytilidae
Source: RNAcentral
CACCAAAAAAAUUUGGGAGAGAAUACUGUAAAAAAUUGGUGCUUUUGGGGCAAAUAAUGACCUCCAGAAGGUACAGUUAGUUCCCUAAAACAAUUUAAUAGCAAGCUGAAUAUUUCUUUAAAUGACCAUAGCCUUUAAAAGGCUGGCACCGUAGUAAUAAGUCUUAAUGACGCACUUAGUACACAAAAAUAUGGUAUUUUUUUCUGCUUAGACUUACGUAGUCCUCAACAAAUUAUGCGUGUUUAUUUCUUAUCAUUUGAGUCUUGGUUUGGUGGAUUUCCUGUAUAAUCCCUUUUGAAAUCAUGCAUGUUUGUUUUAUUUAUAGUUUGCCCUCCAGCAUGUCAAAUUUACUGCAUCCAGCCACAUAAAAACAAAACAAAAAACUGUCUGCAAACAUUAACAAGUGACUUUUGCACAGAAAACAUCAUUAUCUACACCCGAAGCAGUUUGGCACUGAUAAGUUAAAG